Molecule: ribosomal RNA, 253 nt
Filed under: uncultured bacterium
Lineage: Bacteria
Description: partial 16S ribosomal RNA
Rfam family: Bacterial small subunit ribosomal RNA
Source: RNAcentral
UACGGAGGGGGCUAGCGUUGUUCGGAAUUACUGGGCGUAAAGCGCCCGUAGGCGGCUUUUUAAGUCAGAGGUGAAAGCCCACGACUCAAUCGUGGAACUGCCUUUGAGACUGGAUCGCUUGAAGAUGGGAGAGGUUAGUGGAAUUCCGAGUGUAGAGGUGAAAUUCGUAGAUAUUCGGAAGAACACCAGUGGCGAAGGCGGCUAACUGGACCAUUCUUGACGCUGAGGCACGAAAGCGUGGGGAGCAAACAGG